UUUUGAGCUAUCGCUGAAUUUUUCGGAAACGUUAACACCUUCCAUAGCAAGAAUCAAAGGACGCGUUUUACUCCAAAUUAAUGAUAUUUAUCACCUCUACGUAACCCCCUAUAUAUACCAUCACCUACCUUUGUCUCGACACCACAGUACCCUUCGAACAUAGUUGCACUUCGCCGGAAAUAACGGAGCUUUUGCGGGAGUUGCCGGAACCGGAGAAGACAACCGCGACCUCUUUCGUCGUCAUCGUUUCGCCGCUGCAUAUCCACCGGAAGACUGGAGCAUCGUGGGAGCCUUUGAACGCAAGUCGGAAACCCGCAAUCUUUUACGUUUCGGCUAAUCUCACUCUAGUGCUCCCUUCAAUCCAUCAUCGCUUACUAUAGUUUGGACUCAGCACCUGUCCACUCAGGGGUUGUUAAGGACAAUUUGUUACAUGGAUCACAGUGGUGAGUGUGUAUUACGAACUCCAUUGGGCAGUCAACCCGCAGUCAUUGGUAUCGAUAGGUUCAUGUCAAUAACCAACAUGCUUCAUUUCACACUGUGUGCUUAAGAUGUUUAGAUGCUUGGCUUGCUGUGAAAUCAAGGCUAGGAAAGGUCUAGAAA
RNAcentral lists this long non-coding RNA (600 nucleotides) under Helianthus annuus (common sunflower). Lineage: Eukaryota; Viridiplantae; Streptophyta; Magnoliopsida; Asterales; Asteraceae. The record is from RNAcentral.